UGAUGGCAGCUCUCAAACGCCUACACAUGACCUUGUGUUCUAUGUAUGUUGAUGAAAGGUGGUCUACAAGGUGUUGGACGAGGUGUGUUUUGACAAUAAGAAUGGACAAUGACAGGUAGUCAAACCAGCGGAUGACACGCUGCUCCAGGGCCUUGCUGACAUGUCUGAAGUGCAUGUAGUGUUUGAGUGCAUCCACACGAGUUUGGAAGACUACUCUUGUGGCGUUCAUGUUGGAGAUCAUCGAC
Oryzias melastigma (Indian medaka) is the source of this 245-nucleotide long non-coding RNA. RefSeq lists it as uncharacterized. The record is from RefSeq and is a predicted model, not a curated record. The transcript has 3 exons. NCBI's taxonomy places the organism in Eukaryota, Metazoa, Chordata, Actinopteri, Beloniformes, Adrianichthyidae.